CAUGCCAAGUCGACGGUAAGCGAACAGAGAAGGAGCUUGCUCCUUCGACGUUAGCGGCGGACGGGUGAGUAACACGUGGGCAACCUACCUUAUAGUUUGGGAUAACUCCGGGAAACCUUGCAUUGGGGGCUAAUACCGAAUAAUCUGUUUCACCUCAUGGUGAAACACUAAAAGACGGUUUCGGCUGUCGCUAUAGGAUGGGCCCGCGGCGCUUGAUUAGCUAGUUGGUGAGGUAACGGCUCACCAAGGCGACGAUGCGUAGCCGACCUGAGAGGGUGAUCGGCCACACUGGACGCCGCGUGAGUGAAGAAGGAUUUCGGUUCGUAAAACUCUGUUGUAAGGGAAGAACAAGUACAGUAGUAACUGGCUGACCUGAGUACCUUGACGGUACCUUAUUAGAAAGCCACGGCUAACUACGUGCCAGCAGCCGCGGUAAUACGUAGGUGGCAAGCGUUGUCCGGAAUUAUUGGGCGUAAAGCGCGCGCAGGUGGUUUCUUAAGUCUGAUGUGAAAGCCCACGGCUCGAGGGUCAUUGGAAACUGGGAGACUUGAGUGCAGAAGAGGAUAGUGGAAUUCCAAGUGUAGCGGUGAAAUGCGUAGAGAUUUGGAGGAACACCAGUGGCGAAGGCGACUAUCUGGUCUGUAACUGACACGGUAUGAGGCGCGAAAGCGUGGGGAGCAACCACAGGAUUAGAUACCCUGGUAGUCCACGCCGUAAACGAUGAGUGCUAAGUGUUAGGGGGUUUCCGCCCCUUAGUGCUGCAGCUAACGCAUUAAGCACUCCGCCUGGGGAGUACGGUCGCAAACUGAUGAUAACUCAAAGGAAUUGACGGGGGCCCGCACAAGCGGUGGAGCAUGUGGUUUAAUUCGAAGCAACGCGAAGAACCUUACCAGGUCUUGACAUCCCGUUGACCACUGUAGAGAUAUAGUUUCCCCUUCGGGGGCAACGGUGACAGGUGCUGGGAAGUGCAUGGUUGUCGUCAGCUCGUGUCGUGAGAUGUUGGGUUAAGUCCCGCAACGAGCGCAACCCUUGAUCUUAGUUGCCAUCAUUUAGUUGGGCACUCUAAGGUGACUGCCGGUGACAAACCGGAGGAAGGUGGGGAUGACGUCAAAAUCAUGCCCCUUAUGACCUGGGCUACACACGUGCUACAAUGGACGAUACAAACGGUUGCCAACUCGCGAGAGGGAGCUAAUCCGAUAAAGUCGUUCUCAGUUCGGAUUGUAGGCUGCAACUCGCCUACAAAUGCUGAAGCCGGAAUCGCUAGCGCGGAUCAGCAUGCCGCGGUGAAUACGUUCCCGGGCCUUGUACACACCGCCCGUCACACCACGAGAGUUU
This 1335-nucleotide ribosomal RNA is filed under the name Lysinibacillus fusiformis. RNAcentral's name for it is "bacterial SSU rRNA". It matches the Rfam family "Bacterial small subunit ribosomal RNA", at positions 47 to 1413 of the family's 1533-position model. The record is from RNAcentral. Lineage: Bacteria; Bacillati; Bacillota; Bacilli; Caryophanales; Bacillaceae.